Myotis lucifugus (little brown bat) is the source of this 76-nucleotide non-coding RNA. NCBI's taxonomy places the organism in Eukaryota, Metazoa, Chordata, Mammalia, Chiroptera, Vespertilionidae. The record is from Rfam.
GAGACACCCUUAUGGGGCAGGACUUGCUUCAGUGGGGCUUUGGUGCUCACUGAGUCUGCCCCUUGAGUGUGUUGUU